Bombus impatiens (common eastern bumble bee) is the source of this 412-nucleotide long non-coding RNA. RefSeq lists it as uncharacterized. Lineage: Eukaryota; Metazoa; Arthropoda; Insecta; Hymenoptera; Apidae. The record is from RefSeq and is a predicted model, not a curated record. The transcript has 3 exons.
GUAAACGUAAAUAGCGUGUCGAAGAUGCAAGAGUGAGAAGCUCAAACUGCGUUUUAAAUCAUCGAACAAUCUUCCGUUCACAGCGUGUAAUUCAGCGGUUUUGAUUCUACCAUUCGGGAGGAGGAAUCGUAAAAUCAGGGAAAAUUGCGGGACACCUUCCUUUCCGGAUUCGCGACCCGGAUAGAAACCGCCUUGUGGAAUUCUUCGAUUGGAUCGCGUUUUGCUGGCGGUGGAUUGCGAACAGAAAAAGUCUAUCGAAUCGCAAGAUUUAUUGACGUUUAUUACUAUACGGCUAGCGGAGUUAAAUUGGCCAAAGGCUCAUAUGGCACCCACGAAGAUUGACUUUAAGACCAUCGUUAAAACGAAGAGAUCGAAAAGGAGUAGUAUCAUUUACAGCAUAGAAAUUCUAAAA